RNAcentral lists this ribosomal RNA (897 nucleotides) under uncultured bacterium. RNAcentral's name for it is "bacterial SSU rRNA". It matches the Rfam family "Bacterial small subunit ribosomal RNA", at positions 1 to 888 of the family's 1533-position model. The record is from RNAcentral.
UAGAGUUUGAUCAUGGCUCAGGAUGAACGCUAGCGACAGGCCUAACACAUGCAAGUCGAGGGGCAUCGGGGCUAGGAGCAAUCCUUGCCGCCGGCGACCGGCGCACGGGUGAGUAACGCGUAUGCGACCUGCCCGUUGCAGGGGGAUAAUCGGGAGAAAUCCCGUCUAAUACCGCGUAAUGCCGCGGGGCUGCAUGGCCCUGCGGCCAAAGGGAGCGAUUCCGGCAACGGAUGGGCAUGCGUGACAUUAGCUAGUUGGCGGGGCAACGGCCCACCAAGGCGACGAUGUCUAGGGGUUCUGAGAGGAAGGUCCCCCACACUGGUACUGAGACACGGACCAGACUCCUACGGGAGGCAGCAGUGAGGAAUAUUGGUCAAUGGGCGCGAGCCUGAACCAGCCAAGUCGCGUGAGGGAUGACGGCCCUACGGGUUGUAAACCUCUUUUGUCGGGGAGCAAAUUCCGUUACGUGUAACGGAGUCGAGAGUACCCGAAGAAAAAGCAUCGGCUAACUCCGUGCCAGCAGCCGCGGUAAUACGGAGGAUGCGAGCGUUAUCCGGAUUUAUUGGGUUUAAAGGGUGCGUAGGCGGACUGUCAAGUCAGCGGUAAAAUACGGGGGCUCAACCUCCGCCCGCCGUUGAAACUGACGGUCUUGAGUGGGCGAGAAGUAUGCGGAAUGCGUGGUGUAGCGGUGAAAUGCAUAGAUAUCACGCAGAACUCCGAUUGCGAAGGCAGCAUACCGGCGCCCAACUGACGCUGAAGCACGAAAGCGUGGGUAUCGAACAGGAUUAGAUACCCUGGUAGUCCACGCAGUAAACGAUGAAUACUAGCUGUCCGGGGCGAAUGAGCCCUGGGUGGCACAGCGAAAGCGUUAAGUAUUCCACCUGGGGAGUACGCCGG